This 495-nucleotide ribosomal RNA is filed under the name uncultured bacterium. Its description in RNAcentral is "partial 16S ribosomal RNA". It matches the Rfam family "Bacterial small subunit ribosomal RNA", at positions 29 to 506 of the family's 1533-position model. The record is from RNAcentral.
AUGCACGCUGGCGGCGUGCCUAAUACAUGCCAGUCGAGCGAACAGACGAGGAGCUUGCUCCUCUGACGUUAGCGGCGGACGGGUGAGUAACACGUGGAUAACCUACCUAUAAGACUGGGAUAACUUCGGGAAACCGGAGCUAAUACCGGAUAAUAUAUUGAACCGCAUGGUUCAAUAGUGAAAGACGGUUUUGCUGUCACUUAUAGAUGGAUCCGCGCCGCAUUAGCUAGUUGGUAAGGUAACGGCUUACCAAGGCGACGAUGCGUAGCCGACCUGAGAGGGUGAUCGGCCACACUGGAACUGAGACACGGUCCAGACUCCUACGGGAGGCAGCAGUAGGGAAUCUUCCGCAAUGGGCGAAAGCCUGACGGAGCAACGCCGCGUGAGUGAUGAAGGUCUUCGGAUCGUAAAACUCUGUUAUUAGGGAAGAACAAAUGUGUAAGUAACUAUGCACGUCUUGACGGUACCUAAUCAGAAAGCCACGGCUAACUACGU